AUUGAACGCUGGCGGCAUGCCUUACACAUGCAAGUCGAACGGCAGCACGGGGGCAACCCUGGUGGCGAGUGGCGAACGGGUGAGUAACAUAUCGGAACAUACCCUAGAGUGGGGGAUAACGUAGCGAAAGUUACGCUAAUACCGCAUACGAUCUAAGGAUGAAAGUGGGGGAUCUUCGGACCUCAUGCUCAUGGAGUGGCCGAUAUCUGAUUAGCUAGUUGGUGAGGUAAAGGCUCACCAAGGCGACGAUCAGUAGCUGGUUUGAGAGAACGACCAGCCACACUGGAACUGAGACACGGUCCAGACUCCUACGGGAGGCAGCAGUGGGGAAUUUUGGACAAAUGGGGGCGAACCCCUGAUCCAGCAAUGCCGCGUGAGUGAAGAAGGCCUCGG
Molecule: ribosomal RNA, 393 nt
Filed under: uncultured bacterium
Lineage: Bacteria
Description: bacterial SSU rRNA
Rfam family: Bacterial small subunit ribosomal RNA
Source: RNAcentral